RNAcentral lists this ribosomal RNA (428 nucleotides) under uncultured bacterium. RNAcentral describes it as "partial 16S ribosomal RNA". It matches the Rfam family "Bacterial small subunit ribosomal RNA", at positions 354 to 796 of the family's 1533-position model. The record is from RNAcentral.
GUGGGGAAUAUUGGGCAAUGGGCGAAAGCCUGACCCAGCAACGCCGCGUGAAGGAAGAAGGUUUUCGGAUUGUAAACUUCUGUCCUCAGGGAAGAAGGAAGUGACGGUACCUGAGGAGGAAGCCCCGGCUAACUACGUGCCAGCAGCCGCGGUAAUACGUAGGGGGCGAGCGUUGUCCGGAAUGACUGGGCGUAAAGGGCGCGUAGACGGCUGUCUAAGUCUGGAGUGAAAGUCCUGUUUUCAAGGCGGGAAUUGCUUUGGAGACUGGAUGGCUUGAGUGCGGAAGAGGUAAGUGGAAUUCCCAGUGUAGCGGUGAAAUGCGUAGAGAUUGGGAGGAACACCAGUGGCGAAGGCGACUUACUGGGCCGUAACUGACGUUGAAGCGCGAAAGCGUGGGGAGCGAACAGGAUUAGAAACCCCAGUAGUCC